Molecule: unclassified non-coding RNA, 134 nt
Organism: Ursus americanus (American black bear)
Lineage: Eukaryota; Metazoa; Chordata; Mammalia; Carnivora; Ursidae
Source: Ensembl
UUUUCCCUGAGUAAAUGAAGUAGACCUGAGUUCCGGCUGCGAACCCGAGGCGUUGGCGGGCUCAGAACCUACGCGCCACACAAAAUUCCCUCCUCUUGGGGUCGCUCGUCCUAGAGGCGCAGGAGACCGUGAGG